Cylas formicarius (sweet potato weevil) is the source of this 648-nucleotide long non-coding RNA. RefSeq lists it as uncharacterized. The record is from RefSeq and is a predicted model, not a curated record. The transcript has 3 exons. NCBI's taxonomy places the organism in Eukaryota, Metazoa, Arthropoda, Insecta, Coleoptera, Brentidae.
AUCUGGUGGCACAUGCGCUACAAAUCCAAUUUGGGUGGACGCCAUUUUUAGUAGCGAGUAUAUUUUGUGCUAGGUAGAGGUAGCGUAGUGAUCGGUAUUGGCAGAAUUUAGUCUUGAAAGAGGAAUUUGGUAAGGGUGUAUUGGACAGUUAUGGCUCCCAACGGGAAAGUUUUGUCGAAAACCCCUCUAGUUUUCGAAGAUCGUAUCAAGAAUGUGUUUUCACUAAACUGAGGAAAUGUUGGACAGGAUAUGGAAAGACCUGAAAAAAAUCUACACAGGCAUCAAAAACAAUAUAGGGAAGACUAGAACGGGUAGAAUUUACUAGGAAUAUUAUCACUAGAUUGAUGGAAUACAUAGGGAGGACAAAACAGUUAACCUCCCGAACCUAAUACCUCUACAACAGUUCCUGGCAGAUCUUCAAUCUUCUAAUCUUCAGUGGUAGUGAAAACAACAUUACAAGUUAUAAAGAAGCCUCGCAGAGAAUAACCAGCAGUAAUCAGUUUUUAAAAAGAAUAUAAGGCACAGUAACAUAUUGUCAACAAGUGCUUCUGAUUUAAAUUUUGUUUAGAAUUUACAGUUAAUGAAAUUUUUGCUUUAGUUAUUCUACUAAUAAUUAAAAAUAGAUUAAUGUAUUGUAAAUGAACAUUU